UUCCGGUUGAUCCUGCCGGAGCCACUGCUAUUGGGGUUCGGCUAAGCCAUGCGAGUGGUGGGCGUUCCGAAAGGGAUAGCCCCGCACACGGCUCAGUAACACGUAGUUAACCUGCCCUCGGGACGGGAACAACGCCGGGAAACUGGCGAUAAUUCCAGAUAGGUGGGGGACACUGGAAUGCCUCCUUGCCUAAAUCCUCUGGGGGCCCGAGGAUGGGACUGCGGCCUAUCAGGCUGUUGGCGGUGUAACGGACCACCAAACCUACAACGGGUACGGGCGAUGGGAGUCGGAGCCCGGAGAUGGGGACUGAGACAAGGCCCCAGGGCCUACGGGGCGCAGCAGGUACGAAAACUCCGCAAUGCGCGAAAGCGUGACGGGGGAACCCCAAGUGCCGUUGGUCUUUGAUCGACGGCUUUUAGGGAGUCUAAGAAGCUCCCAGAAUAAGGGCUGGGCAAGUCGGGUGCCAGCCGCCGCGGUAAUACCCGCAGCCCAAGUGGUGGUCGCGAUUAUUGGGCCUAAAGCGUUCGUAGCCGGGUCAGCAAGUCCCUUGUGAAAUCGGGCGGCCUAACCGUUCGGCUUGCAAGGGAUACUGUUGGUCUUGAGGCCGGGAGACGUCUGAGGUACUCCGGGGGUAGCGGUAAAAUGCUGUAAUCCUCGGGGGACCACCAGUGGCGAAGGCGUCAGACGAGAACGGACCUGACGGUGAGGGGCGAAGGCUAGGGGAGCGAACGGGAUUAGAUACCCCGGUAGUCCUAGCUGUAAAGCAUGCGGGCCAGGUGUCUGGUGUUCCUUGAGAGCACCAAGUGCCGGAGGGAAGCCGUUAAGCCCGCCGCCUGGGAAGUACGGUCGCAAGGCUGAAACUUAAAGGAAUUGGCGGGA
RNAcentral lists this ribosomal RNA (879 nucleotides) under uncultured archaeon. RNAcentral describes it as "bacterial SSU rRNA". It matches the Rfam family "Archaeal small subunit ribosomal RNA", at positions 1 to 873 of the family's 1478-position model. The record is from RNAcentral.